UUUCCGUAGGUGAACCUGCGGAAGGAUCAUUACAAGUCUUGGUGGGGUUCUCUGGGGCUCCUGGUGGGGCUCCGGUGGGCCGACACAUUAGCACGGGGCCGCGAGGUCCUGAUGUCUACGCUUGCAUGUUUGACAGAGUUAAAUUGUGACCUUAAAUGACAACUUUUAACAACGGAUCUCUUGGCUCUU
This 189-nucleotide unclassified non-coding RNA is filed under the name plant metagenome. Its description in RNAcentral is "partial contains small subunit ribosomal RNA, internal transcribed spacer 1, and 5.8S ribosomal RNA". The record is from RNAcentral.